GGGUUGUGAGGUUAAGCGACUAAGCGUACACGGUGGAUGCCCUGGCAGUCAGAGGCGAUGAAGGACGUGCUAAUCUGCGAUAAGCGUCGGUAAGGUGAUAUGAACCGUUAUAACCGGCGAUUUCCGAAUGGGGAAACCCAGUGUGAUUCGUCACACUAUCAUUAACUGAAUCCAUAGGUUAAUGAGGCGAACCGGGGGAACUGAAACAUCUAAGUACCCCGAGGAAAAGAAAUCAACCGAGAUUCCCCCAGUAGCGGCGAGCGAACGGGGAGCAGCCCAGAGCCUGAAUCAGUGUGUGUGUUAGUGGAAGCGUCUGGAAAGGCGCGCGAUACAGGGUGACAGCCCCGUACACAAAAAUGCACAUGCUGUGAGCUCGAUGAGUAGGGCGGGACACGUGGUAUCCUGUCUGAAUAUGGGGGGACCAUCCUCCAAGGCUAAAUACUCCUGACUGACCGAUAGUGAACCAGUACCGUGAGGGAAAGGCGAAAAGAACCCCGGCGAGGGGAGUGAAAAAGAACCUGAAACCGUGUACGUACAAGCAGUGGGAGCCUCUUUAUGGGGUGACUGCGUACCUUUUGUAUAAUGGGUCAGCGACUUAUAUUCUGUAGCAAGGUUAACCGAAUAGGGGAGCCGAAGGGAAACCGAGUCUUAACUGGGCGUUAAGUUGCAGGGUAUAGACCCGAAACCCGGUGAUCUAGCCAUGGGCAGGUUGAAGGUUGGGUAACACUAACUGGAGGACCGAACCGACUAAUGUUGAAAAAUUAGCGGAUGACUUGUGGCUGGGGGUGAAAGGCCAAUCAAACCGGGAGAUAGCUGGUUCUCCCCGAAAGCUAUUUAGGUAGCGCCUCGUGAAUUCAUCUCCGGGGGUAGAGCACUGUUUCGGCAAGGGGGUCAUCCCGACUUACCAACCCGAUGCAAACUGCGAAUACCGGAGAAUGUUAUCACGGGAGACACACGGCGGGUGCUAACGUCCGUCGUGAAGAGGGAAACAACCCAGACCGCCAGCUAAGGUCCCAAAGUCAUGGUUAAGUGGGAAACGAUGUGGGAAGGCCCAGACAGCCAGGAUGUUGGCUUAGAAGCAGCCAUCAUUUAAAGAAAGCGUAAUAGCUCACUGGUCGAGUCGGCCUGCGCGGAAGAUGUAACGGGGCUAAACCAUGCACCGAAGCUGCGGCAGCGACACUAUGUGUUGUUGGGUAGGGGAGCGUUCUGUAAGCCUGCGAAGGUGUACUGUGAGGUAUGCUGGAGGUAUCAGAAGUGCGAAUGCUGACAUAAGUAACGAUAAAGCGGGUGAAAAGCCCGCUCGCCGGAAGACCAAGGGUUCCUGUCCAACGUUAAUCGGGGCAGGGUGAGUCGACCCCUAAGGCGAGGCCGAAAGGCGUAGUCGAUGGGAAACAGGUUAAUAUUCCUGUACUUGGUGUUACUGCGAAGGGGGGACGGAGAAGGCUAUGUUGGCCGGGCGACGGUUGUCCCGGUUUAAGCGUGUAGGCUGGUUUUCCAGGCAAAUCCGGAAAAUCAAGGCUGAGGCGUGAUGACGAGGCACUACGGUGCUGAAGCAACAAAUGCCCUGCUUCCAGGAAAAGCCUCUAAGCAUCAGGUAACAUCAAAUCGUACCCCAAACCGACACAGGUGGUCAGGUAGAGAAUACCAAGGCGCUUGAGAGAACUCGGGUGAAGGAACUAGGCAAAAUGGUGCCGUAACUUCGGGAGAAGGCACGCUGAUAUGUAGGUGAAGUCCCUUGCGGAUGGAGCUGAAAUCAGUCGAAGAUACCAGCUGGCUGCAACUGUUUAUUAAAAACACAGCACUGUGCAAACACGAAAGUGGACGUAUACGGUGUGACGCCUGCCCGGUGCCGGAAGGUUAAUUGAUGGGGUUAGCGGUAACGCGAAGCUCUUGAUCGAAGCCCCGGUAAACGGCGGCCGUAACUAUAACGGUCCUAAGGUAGCGAAAUUCCUUGUCGGGUAAGUUCCGACCUGCACGAAUGGCGUAAUGAUGGCCAGGCUGUCUCCACCCGAGACUCAGUGAAAUUGAACUCGCUGUGAAGAUGCAGUGUACCCGCGGCAAGACGGAAAGACCCCGUGAACCUUUACUAUAGCUUGACACUGAACAUUGAGCCUUGAUGUGUAGGAUAGGUGGGAGGCUUUGAAGUGUGGACGCCAGUCUGCAUGGAGCCGACCUUGAAAUACCACCCUUUAAUGUUUGAUGUUCUAACGUUGGCCCCUAAUCGGGGUUGCGGACAGUGUCUGGUGGGUAGUUUGACUGGGGCGGUCUCCUCCUAAAGAGUAACGGAGGAGCACGAAGGUUGGCUAAUCCUGGUCGGACAUCAGGAGGUUAGUGCAAUGGCAUAAGCCAGCUUGACUGCGAGCGUGACGGCGCGAGCAGGUGCGAAAGCAGGUCAUAGUGAUCCGGUGGUUCUGAAUGGAAGGGCCAUCGCUCAACGGAUAAAAGGUACUCCGGGGAUAACAGGCUGAUACCGCCCAAGAGUUCAUAUCGACGGCGGUGUUUGGCACCUCGAUGUCGGCUCAUCACAUCCUGGGGCUGAAGUAGGUCCCAAGGGUAUGGCUGUUCGCCAUUUAAAGUGGUACGCGAGCUGGGUUUAGAACGUCGUGAGACAGUUCGGUCCCUAUCUGCCGUGGGCGCUGGAGAACUGAGGGGGGCUGCUCCUAGUACGAGAGGACCGGAGUGGACGCAUCACUGGUGUUCGGGUUGUCAUGCCAAUGGCACUGCCCGGUAGCUAAAUGCGGAAGAGAUAAGUGCUGAAAGCAUCUAAGCACGAAACUUGCCCCGAGAUGAGUUCUCCCUGACUCCCUGAGAGUCCUGAAGGAACGUUGAAGACGACGACGUUGAUAGGCCGGGUGUGUAAGCGCAGCGAUGCGUUGAGCUAACCGGUACUAAUGAACCGUGAGGCUUAACCUUACAACGCCGAAG
RNAcentral lists this ribosomal RNA (2925 nucleotides) under Escherichia coli. Its description in RNAcentral is "bacterial LSU rRNA". It matches the Rfam family "Bacterial large subunit ribosomal RNA". The record is from RNAcentral. Lineage: Bacteria; Pseudomonadati; Pseudomonadota; Gammaproteobacteria; Enterobacterales; Enterobacteriaceae.